UUUAGUUUGGCAGAGUUAAUGUGUCAGAUUUAGGUUCUGAAGACGAGAGAUUCAACUAAAG
This 61-nucleotide transfer RNA is filed under the name Grandidierella japonica. RNAcentral's name for it is "tRNA-Leu". Lineage: Eukaryota; Metazoa; Arthropoda; Malacostraca; Amphipoda; Corophiidae. The record is from RNAcentral.